GAAGAUAAUGAUAAACAACCUUGUGCAAGCGAAGAGCUAAUGGUUAAGCUAAAUUAAUUAAAAUCUAAAUAUUUCGUUCUACCUCUUUUGAAAACGUAGUAAUGCAUUUGUUAUUCUAAGCUUAUGAGACUAAAAGCUUAAAAUCAGUAUUAUAACUACAAACUAUCUAAAUUCCUUAAUUGUAACCUAAUUAGUACGGAUAUCUUACGUAACCUUCAUAAACGGCAGCAGGAAUUCUUAUUGGAUUUUCAUAUAGUGAGGAAACUAAUUUGU
Molecule: long non-coding RNA, 273 nt
Organism: Aedes albopictus (Asian tiger mosquito)
Lineage: Eukaryota; Metazoa; Arthropoda; Insecta; Diptera; Culicidae
Exons: 3
Source: RefSeq, a predicted model, not a curated record